CCGGCGACCGGCGCACGGGUGAGUAACACGUAUGCAACCUGCCCGUCUCAGGGGGAUAAUCGUCGGAAACGGCGUCUAAUACCCCGUAUGAAGCUGGACGGCAUCGUCUGGUUUUGAAAGAAUAUCGGAGACGGAUGGGCAUGCGGCGCAUUAGCUAGUUGGCGGGGUAACGGCCCACCAAGGCGACGAUGCGGUAGGGGUUCUGAGAGGAACGGUCCCCACACUGGUACUGAGACACGGACCAGACUCCUACGGGAGGCAGCAG
Molecule: ribosomal RNA, 265 nt
Filed under: uncultured bacterium
Lineage: Bacteria
Description: partial 16S ribosomal RNA
Rfam family: Bacterial small subunit ribosomal RNA
Source: RNAcentral